Brassica oleracea var. oleracea is the source of this 775-nucleotide long non-coding RNA. RefSeq lists it as uncharacterized. The transcript is spliced from 2 exons. The record is from RefSeq and is a predicted model, not a curated record. Lineage: Eukaryota; Viridiplantae; Streptophyta; Magnoliopsida; Brassicales; Brassicaceae.
CAACACAGGUUCCAGGAGCACCAAGGGACUUAGCCUCUAGAUCUCCAUGAAGCUACCACCACAGAAAAAUAAGAAACAUAAGCCAUUCAUACGACAACUCAAAGUUCAAAACAAUGGAACACAACUCAUGUCAGAUUCAUUAGUACCUUUGCCUUUAUCGACCUGAAAGAUAUCUUCUGGCUCCUCGGCUUCUGUCAAUGUCCUGAACACACACACACAAAAGAAAAACAAAGAUUGGUUAUCAAAAUUCAACACUGGAGAAAGUAUUUAGAUCACCUGCACUUGCGAAAGCAGUAAUGACAGUGGAAACAACACUUAGCUCACCAUGAGAAUCCAAAGACUGAGGAAGAAAGAAGAGGCCAACAAGAAGGAGAGCAGCGAUGCCUAAUCCGAGUCCGAUUGAGAACCUGAUCUUCAUCAUGCUGGCGGCGAGCUUAAAACCAGUCUUCUCCGACGCAUCUCCAUUUUCUUCUCCUUAAGAAAACCAGUCAGGUUGUUGAAAUCAAGAAGUUCAGCAAAAGAGAAACAUAAAUCGAGUCAGUUUUGAGGCAAAUCCAAGUCUUGCCUUUGCGAAGAACUUAGAGACAAAUCCAAAAGGGAAACUUUGAGAGGGAAGUUGAACAGCUUUGUGUAUUGGCAGAACUAGAUCUCGGCGUCAUCGGUAGAGAUGAAAUCGAGGCUUGAGGAAGAUAACAGGGCCGUGGACACGAAAUCGAGGCUUCAAAAUCGGUGGGAAAGAUGACAGCAGAGAAGAUGAAAAGAAGAAAAAAAAAAA